UGUGCUGUGGCUCAGUGGCAGAGCGCUUGCCUCACGCAUAUGAGGCAUUGGGUUUGAUCCUCAGCACCACAU
Molecule: transfer RNA, 72 nt
Filed under: Ictidomys tridecemlineatus (thirteen-lined ground squirrel)
Lineage: Eukaryota; Metazoa; Chordata; Mammalia; Rodentia; Sciuridae
Description: Spermophilus tridecemlineatus (thirteen-lined ground squirrel) tRNA
Rfam family: tRNA
About the family: Transfer RNA (tRNA) molecules are approximately 80 nucleotides in length.
Source: Rfam by way of RNAcentral